Podarcis lilfordi (Lilford's wall lizard) is the source of this 75-nucleotide non-coding RNA. The record is from the annotation of a GenBank genome assembly. NCBI's taxonomy places the organism in Eukaryota, Metazoa, Chordata, Lepidosauria, Squamata, Lacertidae.
GCUCAGGGAUAGCUCAGUUGGAAGAGCAUGAGAUUCUUUAUCUCAGGGUUGUGGGUUUGAAUCCCACACUGGACA